ACUGGUACAUGGACACGGACCAGANUCCUACGGGAGGCAGCAGUGAGGAAUAUUGGACAAUGGGUGCAAGCCUGAUCCAGCCAUCCCGCGUGAAGGACGACGGCCCUAUGGGUUGUAAACUUCUUUUGUAUAGGGAUAAACCUAGAUACGUGUAUCUAGCUGAAGGUACUAUACGAAUAAGCACCGGCAUGCUCCGUGCCAGCAGCCGCGGUAAUACGGAGGGUGCAAGCGUUAUCCGGAUUUAUUGGGUUAUGAGGGUCCGUAGGCGGAUUUGUAAGUCAGUGGUGAAAUCUCACAGCUUAACUGUGAAACUGCCAUUGAUACUGCAAGUCUUGAGUGUUGUUGAAGUAGCUGGAAUAAGUAGUGUAGCGGUGAAAUGCAUAGAUAUUACUAUGAACACCAAUUGCGAAGGCAGGUUACUAAGCAACAACAUGCGCAUGUGGACGAAAGCGUGGGGAGCGAACAGGAUUAGAUACCCUGGUAGUCCACGCCGUAAACGAUGCAUGCUCGUUUUUGGGCUUUCGGGUUCAGAGACUAAGCGAAAGAUGAUGGUUAGCCACCUGGGGAGUACGAACGCAAGUUUGAAACUCAAAGGAAUUGACGGGGGCCCGCACAAGCGGUGGAUUAUGUGGUUUAAUUCGAUGAUACGCGAGGAACCUUACCAAGGCUUAAAUGGGAAAAUGCAGGCUAUGAAAAUGGCUUUUCUUCGGACAUUUUUCAAGGUGCUGCAUGGUUGUCGUCAGCUCGUGCCGAUGGGUGUUAGGUUAAGUCCUGCAACGAGCGCAACCCCUGUCACUAGUUGCCAUCAUAUGGUUGGGGACUCUAGUGAGACUGCCUACGCAAGUAGAGAGGAAGGUGGGGAUGACGUCAAAUCAUCACGGCCCUUACGCCUUGGGCCACACACGAUGUACAAUGGCCGGUACAGAGGGCAGCUACACUGCGAAGUGAUGCAAAUCUCGAAAGCCGGUCUCAGUUCGGAUUGGAGUCUGCAACUCGACUCUAUGAAGCUGGAAUCGCUAGUAAUCGCGCAUCAGCCAUGGCGCGGUGAAUACGUUCCCGGGCCUUGUACACACCGCCCGUCAAGCCAUGGAAGUCUGGGGUACCNGAAG
Molecule: ribosomal RNA, 1109 nt
Filed under: Chryseobacterium joostei
Lineage: Bacteria; Pseudomonadati; Bacteroidota; Flavobacteriia; Flavobacteriales; Weeksellaceae
Description: bacterial SSU rRNA
Rfam family: Bacterial small subunit ribosomal RNA
Source: RNAcentral